CCUACGGGAGGCAGCAGUGAGGAAUAUUGGUCAAUGGCCGGAAGGCUGAACCAGCCAAGCCGCGUGAAGGGCGAAGGUGCCAAGCAUUGUAAACUUCUUUUGUCAAGGGACAAAAUCAGGCGCGAGAGCCUGACCGAGGGUACGGGAAGAAAAAGCAUCGGCUAACCCCGUGCCAGCAGCCGCGGUAAUACGGAGGAUGCGAGCGUUAUCCGGAUUUAUUGGGUUUAAAGGGUGCGUAGGCGGGCUGUUAAGGCAGCGGUACCAGCCCGGGGCUCAACCCCGGCGAGCCGUUGAAACUGGCUGUCUUGCGCUGUCGCGAGGUCUGCGUAUUGCGCCUUGUAGCGGU
This 346-nucleotide ribosomal RNA is filed under the name uncultured bacterium. Its description in RNAcentral is "partial 16S ribosomal RNA". It matches the Rfam family "Bacterial small subunit ribosomal RNA", at positions 338 to 682 of the family's 1533-position model. The record is from RNAcentral.